RNAcentral lists this ribosomal RNA (513 nucleotides) under uncultured bacterium. RNAcentral describes it as "partial 16S ribosomal RNA". It matches the Rfam family "Bacterial small subunit ribosomal RNA", at positions 28 to 523 of the family's 1533-position model. The record is from RNAcentral.
GACGAACGCUGGCGGCGUGCCUAAUACAUGCAAGUUGAGCGCUGAAGGUUGGUGCUUGUACCGACUGGGUGAGCAGCGAACGGGUGAGUAACGCGUGGGGAAUCUGCCUUUGAGCGGGGGACAACAUUUGGAAACGAAUGCUAAUACCGCAUAACAACUUUAAACACAAGUUUUAAGUUUGAAAGAUGCAAUUGCAUCACUCAAAGAUGAUCCCGGGUUGUAUUAGCUAGUUGGUGAGGUAAAGGCUCACCAAGGCGAUGAUACAUAGCCGACCUGAGAGGGUGAUCGGCCACAUUGGGACUGAGACACGGCCCAAACUCCUACGGGAGGCAGCAGUAGGGAAUCUUCGGCAAUGGACGAAAGUCUGACCGAGCAACGCCGCGUGAGUGAAGAAGGUUUUCGGAUCGUAAAACUCUGUUGGUAGAGAAGAACGUUGGUGAGAGUGGAAAGCUCAUCAAGUGACGGUAACUACCCAGAAAGGGACGGCUAACUACGUGCCAGCCGCCGCCGUAA